AAUGAAUCACAUGACUGGCGGAAGUGGAAUUAACCACAUGGAGUGUGAUUCGAAGAUAUGCCGACCGCCUGGGCGAUAAGU
Molecule: regulatory RNA element, 81 nt
Rfam family: ZMP/ZTP riboswitch aptamer (pfl RNA motif)
About the family: Previously known as pfl RNA. ZMP is also known as AICAR.
Source: Rfam